RNAcentral lists this ribosomal RNA (844 nucleotides) under uncultured marine microorganism. RNAcentral's name for it is "bacterial SSU rRNA". It matches the Rfam family "Bacterial small subunit ribosomal RNA", at positions 658 to 1501 of the family's 1533-position model. The record is from RNAcentral.
CAGAGGGANUUCCCGGUGUAGCGGUGAAAUGCGUAGAUAUCGGGAAGAACACCAGUGGCGAAGGCGNUCUGCUGGGCCAUCACUGACGNUCAUGGACGAAAGCCAGGGGAGCGAAAGGGAUUAGAUACCCCUGUAGUCCUGGCCGUAAACGAUGAACACUAGGUGUCGGGGGAAUCGACCCCCUCGGUGUCGUAGCCAACGCGUUAAGUGUUCCGCCUGGGGAGUACGCACGCAAGUGUGAAACUCAAAGGAAUUGACGGGGGCCCGCACAAGCGGUGGAGUAUGUGGUUUAAUUCGAUGCAACGCGAAGAACCUUACCAGGGUUUGACAUCCUGCGAAUCUCUUGGAAACAGGAGAGUGCCUUCGGGAACGCAGUGACAGGUGGUGCAUGGCUGUCGUCAGCUCGUGUCGUGAGAUGUUGGGUUAAGUCCCGCAACGAGCGCAACCCACGUUUUUAGUUGCCAGCAUUUAGUUGGGCACUCUAGAGAGACUGCCGGUGAUAAACCGGAGGAAGGUGUGGAUGACGUCAAGUCAUCAUGCCCCUUACAUCCUGGGCUACACACGUACUACAAUGCUACGGACAAAGGGCAGCAAGUUCGCGAGGACAAGCAAAUCCCAUAAACCGUGGCUCAGUUCAGAUCGUAGGCUGCAACUCGCCUACGUGAAGGCGGAAUCGCUAGUAAUCGCAGGUCAGCAUACUGCGGUGAAUACGUUCCCGGGCCUUGUACACACCGCCCGUCACACCAUGGAAGUUGGCCACGCCCGAAGCCGUUACUCCAACCCUUGUGGAGGAGGACGUCGAAGGUGGGGCUGAUGACUGGGGUGAAGUCGUAACAAGGUAGCC